ACUCAACACUAAUACAAUUAAAAAGGGUGAGUUUAGGUUGUAAAAGCAGGCCUUCUAGAAAGGAUCCUUGAUCAAUCUGUUAACCCUAAACCUGUUUAAAGGAGUUU
Flavobacteriaceae bacterium is the source of this 107-nucleotide small RNA. It matches the Rfam family "6S-Flavo RNA". NCBI's taxonomy places the organism in Bacteria, Pseudomonadati, Bacteroidota, Flavobacteriia, Flavobacteriales, Flavobacteriaceae. The record is from Rfam.